CUCGUGAUCAUGAUAAUCUUGGUCCUCGUAGCCUUUGCUUGGAUUGGAGCAAACGUCAACAAUCUUCUGUUGAUGUACUUGGCCGCUCUUCUCAUUGCCAUUUGGACUGGUCUGCAUGGUAAACACGUCAAGAUCAUCAGCCGGAAAACUGUAUGCGGCAAACCGAAGCUGCAGUAGAGAGCCGAUCGCUUCUUAUACACCACAUACAUAAGAUCAUCGACUUGCCAUCAUAUGUGCCGAAAUAAACUAGAGAUUGUUGUUAUACUUUGCUCAUCGACACUAUGCCACUGCUACAUUCGAAGGAUGCGAAUAUAUUCUCCAGGGAGACUGUAGCGAUUCUGCAGCACUUGGAUAUGAAGCGAACCUAGAACGAAUGUUUCCGCUCAACAACAACCACUUAACAAUUACUUAUUACUAAUUACAUACAGGCUUCGAUCCAUUCAAUUUUGAAAUUCAAUAAAACGCAAAAUCGCUAAAAUUCCACGAACUAAAA
Long non-coding RNA from Drosophila pseudoobscura, 493 nucleotides. RefSeq lists it as uncharacterized. Lineage: Eukaryota; Metazoa; Arthropoda; Insecta; Diptera; Drosophilidae. The transcript has 2 exons. The record is from RefSeq and is a predicted model, not a curated record.